This 409-nucleotide ribosomal RNA is filed under the name uncultured bacterium. RNAcentral's name for it is "bacterial SSU rRNA". It matches the Rfam family "Bacterial small subunit ribosomal RNA", at positions 509 to 916 of the family's 1533-position model. The record is from RNAcentral.
CAGCAGCCGCGGUAAUACAGAGGUCUCAAGCGUUGUUCGGAUUCAUUGGGCGUAAAGGGUGCGCAGGCGGCUGGGUAAGUCAGGUGUGAAAUCUCGGGGCUCAACCCCGAAACUGCACUUGAUACUGCCCGGCUAGAGGACUGGAGAGGUGAUUGGAAUUCACGGUGUAGCAGUGAAAUGCGUAGAUAUCGUGAGGAAGGCCAAAGGCGAAGGCAGAUCACUGGACAGUUCCUGACGCUCAGGCACGAAGGCCAGGGGAGCAAACGGGAUUAGAUACCCCGGUAGUCCUGGCAGUAAACGGUGCGCGUUUGGUGUGGGAGGAUUCGACCCCUUCCGUGCCGGAGCUAACGUGUUAAACGCGCCGCCUGGGGAGUACGGUCGCAAGAUUAAAACUCAAAGAAAUUGACGG